UGGGGAAUAUUGCACAAUGGGGGAAACCCUGAUGCAGCCAUGCCGCGUGUGUGAAGAAGGCCUUCGGGUUGUAAAGCACUUUCAGCGAGGAGGAAAGGUGGCUAGCUAAUACCUAGUUACUGUGACGUUACUCGCAGAAGAAGCACCGGCUAACUCCGUGCCAGCAGCCGCGGUAAUACGGAGGGUGCAAGCGUUAAUCGGAAUUACUGGGCGUAAAGCGCACGCAGGCGGUUAUAUAAGUCAGAUGUGAAAGCCCCGGGCUCAACCUGGGAACUGCAUUUGAAACUGUGUAACUAGAGUCUUGUAGAGGGGGGUAGAAUUCCAGGUGUAGCGGUGAAAUGCGUAGAGAUCUGGAGGAAUACCGGUGGCGAAGGCGGCCCCCUGGACAAAGACUGACGCUCAGGUGCGAAAGCGUGGGGAGCAAACA
Molecule: ribosomal RNA, 427 nt
Filed under: uncultured prokaryote
Description: bacterial SSU rRNA
Rfam family: Bacterial small subunit ribosomal RNA
Source: RNAcentral